Long non-coding RNA from Triticum aestivum (bread wheat), 312 nucleotides. RefSeq lists it as uncharacterized. The transcript has 3 exons. The record is from RefSeq and is a predicted model, not a curated record. Lineage: Eukaryota; Viridiplantae; Streptophyta; Magnoliopsida; Poales; Poaceae.
GGGAAGACGAAAGACCACAUUUGCCAUUUUUAAAGGAUGGAUAUGAACUCAGAAAACUAAUUUUGGGCCAACUACUAACAUUCAAGGACAAUGAAUGUGAAGAUAACAUGCCUGCUGGUGUACUGGACUUCAUCAAUUGUAUUAGGAAAAUCCAAAGUUAAACGGGGAGCUCAAUCGGUGGAAGGUAAUUUGUCAGAGAGAUUUCUUGCAGCCAACAGUUAAUAGACAAUGAGCAGGGAGACGAUGAACAUGUAGAGAUGGAUUUUUUUCCUUUGAGAAAUUAAUAGUAGAUUUUGGUUUCUACUUAAGAUA